RNAcentral lists this ribosomal RNA (485 nucleotides) under Streptococcus gordonii. Its description in RNAcentral is "bacterial SSU rRNA". It matches the Rfam family "Bacterial small subunit ribosomal RNA", at positions 34 to 491 of the family's 1533-position model. Lineage: Bacteria; Bacillati; Bacillota; Bacilli; Lactobacillales; Streptococcaceae. The record is from RNAcentral.
CGCUGGCGGCGUGCCUUAAUACAUGCAAGUAGAACGCCCAGUUUAUACCGUAGCUUGCUACCACCAUAGACUGUGAGUUGCGAACGGGUGAGUAACGCGUAGGUAACCUGCCUGGUAGCGGGGGAUAACUAUUGGAAACGAUAGCUAAUACCGCAUAAUAUUAAUUAUUGCAUGAUAAUUAAUUGAAAGGUGCAAUUGCACCACUACCAGAUGGACCUGCGUUGUAUUAGCUAGUAGGUGAGGUAACGGCUCACCUAGGCGACGAUACAUAGCCGACCUGAGAGGGUGAUCGGCCACACUGGGACUGAGACACGGCCUAGACUCCUACGGGAGGCAGCAGUAGGGAAUCUUCAGCAAUGGACGAAAGUCUGACCGAGCAACGCCGCGUGAGUGAAGAAGGUUUUCGGAUCGUAAAGCUCUGUUGUAAGAGAAGAACGGGUGUGAGAGUGGAAAGUUCACACUGUGACGGUAUCUUACCAGAAAGG